GGGCCCGCACAAGCGGCGGAGCAUGCUGAUUAAUUCGAUGCAACGCGAAGAACCUUACCAAGGCUUGACAUGAGGCGAAAACCGGCAGAGAUGUCGGGUCCGCAAGGGCGCUUCACAGGUGGUGCAUGGUUGUCGUCAGCUCGUGUCGUGAGAUGUUGGGUUAAGUCCCGCAACGAGCGCAACCCUCGUUCUAUGUUGCCAGCACGUAAUGGUGGGGACUCAUGGAAGACUGCCGGGGUCAACUCGGAGGAAGGUGGGGAUGAGGUCAAAUCAUCAUGCCCCUUAUGUCUUGGGCUUCAAGCAUGCUACAAUGGCCAGUACAAAGGGCUGCGAGACCGUAAGGUGGAGCGAAUCCCAAAAAGCUGGUCUCAGUUCGGAUCGGGGUCUGCAACUCGACCCCGUGAAGUCGGAGUCGCUAGUAAUCGCAGAUCAGCAACGCUGCGGUGAAUACGUUCCCGGGCCUU
Molecule: ribosomal RNA, 464 nt
Filed under: uncultured bacterium
Lineage: Bacteria
Description: bacterial SSU rRNA
Rfam family: Bacterial small subunit ribosomal RNA
Source: RNAcentral